RNAcentral lists this ribosomal RNA (403 nucleotides) under uncultured bacterium. RNAcentral's name for it is "partial 16S ribosomal RNA". It matches the Rfam family "Bacterial small subunit ribosomal RNA", at positions 28 to 526 of the family's 1533-position model. The record is from RNAcentral.
GACGAACGCUGGCGGCGUGCCUAAUACAUGCAAGUCGAACGCAGUGGGGACGGGUGAGUAACACGUGGGUAACCUCCCAUCAGAGGGGAUAACACUUGGAAACAGGUGCUAAACCGAUACUGAUGGAUGGACCCGCGGUGCAUUAGCUAGUUGGUGAGGUAACGGCUCACCAAGGCGACGAUCUCUAGCUGGUGUGGGAGGAUGACGAGCCAAACGGGGACUGGGAAACGGCCCGGACUCCUACGGGAGGCAGCAGUGGGAAAUAUUGCACAAGGGGCGCAGGCCUGAUGCAGCCAUGCCGCGUGUAUGAAGAAGGCCUUAGGGUUGUAAAGUACUUUCAGCGGGGAGGCGUUACCCGCAGAAGAAGCACCGGCUAACUCCGUGCCAGCCGCCGCGGUAAUAC